Molecule: ribosomal RNA, 1568 nt
Filed under: Streptococcus thermophilus
Lineage: Bacteria; Bacillati; Bacillota; Bacilli; Lactobacillales; Streptococcaceae
Description: bacterial SSU rRNA
Rfam family: Bacterial small subunit ribosomal RNA
Source: RNAcentral
GGGGCCAAGGGAUUUUUUUAGAGUUUUUAACACAGCUCAGGACGAACGCUGGCGGCGUGCCUAAUACAUGCAAGUAGAACGCUGAAGAGAGGAGCUUGCUCUUCUUGGAUGAGUUGCGAACGGGUGAGUAACGCGUAGGUAACCUGCCUUGUAGCGGGGGAUAACUAUUGGAAACGAUAGCUAAUACCGCAUAACAAUGGAUGACACAUGUCAUUUAUUUGAAAGGGGCAAUUGUUCCACUACAAGAUGGACCUGCGUUGUAUUAGCUAGUAGGUGAGGUAAUGGCUCACCUAGGCGACGAUACAUAGCCGACCUGAGAGGGUGAUCGGCCACACUGGGACUGAGACACGGCCCAGACUCCUACGGGAGGCAGCAGUAGGGAAUCUUCGGCAAUGGGGGCAACCCUGACCGAGCAACGCCGCGUGAGUGAAGAAGGUUUUCGGAUCGUAAAGCUCUGUUGUAAGUCAAGAACGGGUGUGAGAGUGGAAAGUUCACACUGUGACGGUAGCUUACCAGAAAGGGACGGCUAACUACGUGCCAGCAGCCGCGGUAAUACGUAGGUCCCGAGCGUUGUCCGGAUUUAUUGGGCGUAAAGCGAGCGCAGGCGGUUUGAUAAGUCUGAAGUUAAAGGCUGUGGCUCAACCAUAGUUCGCUUUGGAAACUGUCAAACUUGAGUGCAGAAGGGGAGAGUGGAAUUCCAUGUGUAGCGGUGAAAUGCGUAGAUAUAUGGAGGAACACCGGUGGCGAAAGCGGCUCUCUGGUCUGUAACUGACGCUGAGGCUCGAAAGCGUGGGGAGCGAACAGGAUUAGAUACCCUGGUAGUCCACGCCGUAAACGAUGAGUGCUAGGUGUUGGAUCCUUUCCGGGAUUCAGUGCCGCAGCUAACGCAUUAAGCACUCCGCCUGGGGAGUACGACCGCAAGGUUGAAACUCAAAGGAAUUGACGGGGGCCCGCACAAGCGGUGGAGCAUGUGGUUUAAUUCGAAGCAACGCGAAGAACCUUACCAGGUCUUGACAUCCCGAUGCUAUUUCUAGAGAUAGAAAGUUACUUCGGUACAUCGGUGACAGGUGGUGCAUGGUUGUCGUCAGCUCGUGUCGUGAGAUGUUGGGUUAAGUCCCGCAACGAGCGCAACCCCUAUUGUUAGUUGCCAUCAUUCAGUUGGGCACUCUAGCGAGACUGCCGGUAAUAAACCGGAGGAAGGUGGGGAUGACGUCAAAUCAUCAUGCCCCUUAUGACCUGGGCUACACACGUGCUACAAUGGUUGGUACAACGAGUUGCGAGUCGGUGACGGCGAGCUAAUCUCUUAAAGCCAAUCUCAGUUCGGAUUGUAGGCUGCAACUCGCCUACAUGAAGUCGGAAUCGCUAGUAAUCGCGGAUCAGCACGCCGCGGUGAAUACGUUCCCGGGCCUUGUACACACCGCCCGUCACACCACGAGAGUUUGUAACACCCGAAGUCGGUGAGGUAACCUUUUGGAGCCAGCCGCCUAAGGUGGGACAGAUGAUUGGGGUGAAGUCUACAAGGGGAAACAAAAGGGGAAUUUAAAGGAGUUUGGUAAUCCAGUAUUUUU